UUAAAACUCUUUCAAAAGUUUUUCUCCGGCUGAGUUUAUCAAACCCUAAUACAUCCGCCGCCAUGAGUUUCACUCUAGCAGUUACAGGGCAAAAUAUUGUCGGAUUUUGGUUAUGGGUUUUUGGUAUGACAAUCCGCAAGGUUAAACGAGUGGAAUGGUGGUCUUAGUUGCCGAUUUCAAUGGGAUUUUGUGCAGAUAUUUAGGAUUUCAUUCUCCGGAAAGAAAAAGGAUGCAAGAAGAUCGUGAUUCUGUAUACUGCAAAAGACUUAAAAGCUGGGUAAACUAAUUGGAAAAAGGAUGCAAGAAGAUCGUGAUUCUGUAUACUGCAAAGGACUCAAAAGCUGGGAAAACUAAUUGGAUGAUGCAUCAGUACCAUCUUGGUACUGAGAAGGCUGAAAAGGAAGGCACGUUCGUUGUGUCAAAAGUAUAACCCCACUUCCUUCUCAUCUUCAUCUGUACCAAGAUGAUACUCAUGCAUCACCCCCACUUCCUUCUCAUCUUCAUCUGUACCAAGAUGAUACUCAUGCAUCACCCAGUUAGUUUUCUCUGUAUAUAAAAGCAUUGAGAGCAUGUGUGCUUCCUAACCAUCGUUGAAGAGGAUGGGUGUUUCCAUUGGAUCAAGAUCAAAUAAGUUGGAUGACAAGAUUUCUGCAAAGAAAGAAGAAGUGGACAAAAAGAAGAAGUGGAGAGAACCUUGGAGUUAUUUCAUCUGCAUCUUGAUAAAGGAGGUUAAUUAUAUAUAGAACAAGAAACAACCGUCAUUCUUUAUAUUAGGUUUUUAAGAGAGAACAACAAUAAUAAUAUGUGUAGGUAAAAUGUCAUUACCCUUUCUAAAUGCAUAGCAACUCUAAUGUUGUAUUAAGGGUUCUACAGAUGCUCCAUUGCAAGACACUACUACAUUUAGUUUGUGAAAAGCCUUCCUAAGAAUUUAUGUUGUUGUAUAUUGAUAAGAGUGCCCACGUUAAAUUGAAACCUCUUUGAAAACAAUAUAAUGGAACCUGAGGAAUUCCCCCUUCUAAAAAUAAAUCUAUUACCAUCAUAAAUUGAUUAUGUAAGUGCAUUUGUAAGUUGAAACAUCAAUAUUCAGUUACAAGUAAGGAAUGACGUCUUGAAUGCAAUCAACUUGCACUUUCUGAAUAUUUCUUCAAGAACUCAUGGAGUAAUGCCAGUACAGUUCUUCGAUGGAAGUAAUGUGAGUACAGUUCUUAGAUGGAAGUAAUGUGAUUUGAAGAUACUGAGGCCUGUUAGUGUUGGUCAUAUCCCUGCAUGCAUAUUUGAUAUGUAUUAGGUAAUAGACACAAUAAAGAUGUAUAUCAGAUGAUUGAAAAUUUUGUGGUAUGUCUAGAAAUGACUGAGGAGGGGCUAUAUACCCGAUUUGUAUGUAUGUUUACCCACUGUAUUCAUGAUUUUAAUACAUAGUCUCAACAACAUUCACUC
Long non-coding RNA from Cryptomeria japonica (Japanese cedar), 1437 nucleotides. RefSeq lists it as uncharacterized. Lineage: Eukaryota; Viridiplantae; Streptophyta; Pinopsida; Cupressales; Cupressaceae. The record is from RefSeq and is a predicted model, not a curated record. The transcript has 3 exons.